CCUGCUCGGGCCUAAUGCCAGGUCGAGCGAAUGGAUUAAGGAGCUUGCCUCUUAUGAAGAUUAGCGGCGGACGGGUGAGUAACACGUGGGUAACCUGCCCAUAAGACUGGGAUAACUCCGGGAAACCGGGGCUAAUACCGGAUAACAUUUUGAACUGCAUGGUUCGAAAUUGAAAGGCGGCUUCGGCUGUCACUUAUGGAUGGACCCGCGUCGCAUUAGCUAGUUGGUGAGGUAACGGCUCACCAAGGCAACGAUGCGUAGCCGACCUGAGAGGGUGAUCGGCCACACUGGGACUGAGACACGGCCCAGACUCCUACGGGAGGCAGCAGUAGGGAAUCUUCCGCAAUGGACGAAAGUCUGACGGAGCAACGCCGCGUGAGUGAUGAAGGCUUUCGGGUCGUAAAACUCUGUUGUUAGGGAAGAACAAGUGCUAGUUGAAUAAGCUGGCACCUUGACGGUACCUAACCAGAAAGCCGCGGCUAACUACGUGCCACAGCCGCGGUAAUACGUAGUGGCAAGCGUUAUCCGGACUUUUGCGCGUAAUGCGCGCGCCCGUGUUUUCUUCGCUGAUGUGAAACCCCACGGCUUUCCGUGCAGGGUCUUGGAUACUGCUCGACUAUAUCGCUAAGAACGCCGGCUUUCUCGCCUUCCCCGCCAUACUACGCUAGUCGCCCCUUGGUUGUUGCCCCCUUCUCGCUCUUGCGGGUCCGCCAUAUUCCAAUUUCUCCUUCCCCCUUCCUCUUUUCUGUCCCUCCUCUCCCUCCUACUCCCCUUUUGUCGAUUUUCCCCCCUCCUCCCCCCCUCCUUUUUCCCUUCCCCCGUGUUCCGCCUUUUUCCUCCUCUAUCUCCCCCUCCUUUUUUCUCUCUCCCUCCUUUC
Molecule: ribosomal RNA, 877 nt
Filed under: Bacillus cereus
Lineage: Bacteria; Bacillati; Bacillota; Bacilli; Caryophanales; Bacillaceae
Description: bacterial SSU rRNA
Rfam family: Bacterial small subunit ribosomal RNA (bases 1-569)
Source: RNAcentral